Molecule: non-coding RNA, 148 nt
Filed under: Nomascus leucogenys (northern white-cheeked gibbon)
Lineage: Eukaryota; Metazoa; Chordata; Mammalia; Primates; Hylobatidae
Source: Rfam by way of RNAcentral
GCCGGGUGUGGUGGCACGCACCUGUAGUCCCAGCUACCUGGGAGGCUGAGGCAGGAGAAUUGCUUGAACCUGGGAAGCGGAGGUUGCAGUGAGCCAAGACGGGGUCAUUGCACUCCAGCCUGGGUGACAGAGCAAGACCCUGUCUCAA